UCUUACCACCAUGAACCCACCUGGUCUCAGCAACGCUGGAAGCUGGGCAGAGUUGGUCCUUGUUAGUAUUUAGAUGGGAGACCACCAGGAAAUAGCAAGGACCUCUAGAC
Molecule: ribosomal RNA, 110 nt
Filed under: Pogona vitticeps (central bearded dragon)
Lineage: Eukaryota; Metazoa; Chordata; Lepidosauria; Squamata; Agamidae
Source: RNAcentral